CAUGAUCUAACGGGGUGCAAUGUGUGCAACACAUUGCUGAGAGGCUUUGCGCCAACCCGCGGAACCUGAUCCGGUUAACACCGGCGGAGGGAUUAGAUGUGUGGCCGCC
RNAcentral lists this non-coding RNA (109 nucleotides) under Rhizobium oryziradicis. RNAcentral describes it as "TPP sequence". It matches the Rfam family "TPP riboswitch aptamer (THI element)". Rfam says of the family: Vitamin B(1) in its active form thiamin pyrophosphate (TPP) is an essential coenzyme that is synthesised by coupling of pyrimidine and thiazole moieties in bacteria. The previously detected thiamin-regulatory element, thi box was extended, resulting in a new, highly conserved RNA secondary structure, the THI element, which is widely distributed in eubacteria and also occurs in some archaea. The record is from Rfam by way of RNAcentral. Lineage: Bacteria; Pseudomonadati; Pseudomonadota; Alphaproteobacteria; Hyphomicrobiales; Rhizobiaceae.